RNAcentral lists this ribosomal RNA (564 nucleotides) under uncultured bacterium. RNAcentral's name for it is "bacterial SSU rRNA". It matches the Rfam family "Bacterial small subunit ribosomal RNA", at positions 777 to 1316 of the family's 1533-position model. The record is from RNAcentral.
AAUAGAUACCCAGGUAGUCCACGCUGUGACCGAUGAGUGUUGGGGCUUGGAGAGUUUAAAAUUCUCGGGGCUCUAAGCUAACGCGUUAAACACUCCGCCUGAGUAGUACGGUCGCAAGACUGAAAUUUAAAGAAACUGACGGAGACUUGCACAAGCGGUGGAAUAUGUGGUUUAAUUCGAUGCAACGCGCAAAACCUUACCAGCCCUUGCAUGUGGAGGAGCCAAUUUUUGUUUGGUUAGAGUUUUCUUGGUUUGAAGGUUCUUUAAAAAUCCUCCACACAGGUGCUGCAUGGCUGUCGUCAGCUCGUGUCGUGAGAUGUUUGGUUAAUUCCUUUAACGAGCGCAACCCUCUUCCUAGUUUUUUUUAAUAGGGAUUUUUCUCUUGGAGAGCUGGGAUACUGCCCGGUAACGCCGGGAGGAAGGUGAGGAGGAUGUCAAGUCGGUAUGGCCCUUAAGGGUUGGGCUACACACGUAUUACAAAGGUAGGUACGAAAAGUUGCGAUAAUGUGAAUUGGAGCAAAUCUACAAAGCCUAUCUAAGUUCGGAUUGCUCUCUGAAAUUGAG